RNAcentral lists this ribosomal RNA (445 nucleotides) under uncultured bacterium. Its description in RNAcentral is "partial 16S ribosomal RNA". It matches the Rfam family "Bacterial small subunit ribosomal RNA", at positions 354 to 796 of the family's 1533-position model. The record is from RNAcentral.
GUAAGGAAUAUUGGUCAAUGGGGGCAACCCUGAACCAGCCAUGCCGCGUGAAGGAUGAAGGCGUUAUGCGUUGUAACUUCUUUUGUAUGGGAAGAAUGACAGGGAUUUAUCCUUGGAGAGACGGUACCAUACGAAUAAGCACCGGCUAACUCCGUGCCAGCAGCCGCGGUAAUACGGAGGGUGCAAGCGUUAGCCGGAAUCACUGGGUUUAAAGGGUACGUAGGCGGUUAAUUAAGUCAGUAGUGAAAGACUGUCGCUCAACGACGGAUGUGCUAUUGAUACUGGUUAACUUGAAUCAGGUUAGAGUUGGCGGAAUGGGUCAUGUAGCGGUGAAAUGCUUAGAUAUGUCACAGAACACCGAUAGCGAAGGCAGCUCACUAGGUCUGGAUUGACGCUCAGGGACGAAAGCGUGGGGAGCAAACAGGAUUAGAUACCCGAGUAGUCC